Molecule: ribosomal RNA, 460 nt
Filed under: uncultured bacterium
Lineage: Bacteria
Description: bacterial SSU rRNA
Rfam family: Bacterial small subunit ribosomal RNA
Source: RNAcentral
AACGAACGCUGGCGGCGUGGAUAAGACAUGCAAGUCGAACGGGAACUUUCGCUGUAGCAAUACAGCGGAAGUUUUAGUGGCGAACGGGUGCGUAACACGUGGGGAAUCUGCCGAGAAGUGGGGGAUAGCUCGUCGAAAGGCGAAUUAAUACCGCAUAUGAUCAGCCAAGACAUCUUAGCGACAUCAAAGCCGGGGCAACCUGGCGCUUCUUGAUGACCCCGCGGCCUAUCAGCUAGUUGGUGAGGUAACGGCCCACCAAGGCUAUGACGGGUAGCUGGUCUGAGAGGACGACCAGUCACACUGGAACUGAGACACGGUCCAGACACCUACGGGUGGCAGCAGUCGAGAAUUUUUCUCAAUGGGGCAACCCUGAAGGAGCGACGCCGCGUGGAGGAUGAAGGCUUUCGGGUUGUAAACUCCUGUCAUCUGAGAACAAGUGCCAACAAGUAACUACUGUUGG